UACGGAGGAUCCAAGCGUUAUCCGGAUUCACUGGGUUUAAAGGGUGCGUAGGCGGACUUGUAAGUCAGUGGUGAAAUCUCUUUGCUUAACAAAGAAACUGCCAUUGAUACUGCAGGUCUAGAGUAUAGAUGACGUUGGCGGAAUAUGACAUGUAGUGGUGAAAUACUUAGAUAUGUCAUAGAACACCGAUUGCGAAGGCAGCUAACGAAACUAUAACUGACGCUGAGGCACGAAAAGUGCGGGGAUCAAACAGG
Molecule: ribosomal RNA, 254 nt
Filed under: uncultured bacterium
Lineage: Bacteria
Description: partial 16S ribosomal RNA
Rfam family: Bacterial small subunit ribosomal RNA
Source: RNAcentral